Molecule: non-coding RNA, 766 nt
Organism: Parasteatoda tepidariorum (common house spider)
Lineage: Eukaryota; Metazoa; Arthropoda; Arachnida; Araneae; Theridiidae
Source: RefSeq, a predicted model, not a curated record
UCUUUUUUUUUUUCUGUGAUUCUAUAAUGAUUAACUGAUCAGAUGUUAAUAAAAUACAGUUCACUUUCAGAGCAGUAAUUCGUUAAUUUUGAGAAUAAUUUUGUGAGGCAAUCACAUGAUUUGCUUCGAUGAUUCAACACGUCACAUCCACUACACGUCUGUGUAGUGGAUUUGAUAUUUGUACUAUACGUAUUAUUUUUCAAGCAGAGGUAUUUAACGAGAACACGUUGGGGGUGUGUUUUGCCGUGUUUUGUGUAAAUCUCUUGUGUUUUGCGUAAAUAAAUGUUUUCUUUGGAUAUUUACAAGAGUCUUAUUUCCUGAACCCAGGAUAAUUCCAGAAUUUGUGUCUAGAUGUGACCCGGAUAGAUUAAAGAGAUCCCUAUAGCUGACCACAUCUAGUUCUAGAUAAGUCUUCAAAGAACUUCACCAUACAAAUUGGAGCUCGCAAGCAGACUGUUAGUAUAGACAGAUUAAAGCCGGCAUUUCAGCUCUCUGAGAUAAAAAUUAACCACGUGAGAUUUUCCGUGUGCCUGUCUUCCAAACUGCGUUGGGGACACCUGUGGCGUUGCUGCUGUGUCUAUCAUUACUUCUGGUGAAGCGAACUGAAGUGGUCCCGAUUUUACAUAUAAAUAUAAAUGCUGCGAACGUGGAUUUGAUAUUUGUUCUUUACGUAUUCUCUUUCAAGCAGAUGUAUUUAAUGCGAAUACGCUGGGCAUGUGGACAUGUGGAAUCUGUUUUUUGUAUAAAUAAAUGUUUUCUUUUGAUA